CCCCUUCCCCUUUAAACAAAAAAAUCUAGCCACUCUAAUCCCUUUAUCUUCUCAAGACAGCCGUCCCUCCCUCUUCUUCCUCAAGAGAAAUACAUGAAAGUUUUAUAUUAAACUCAAUCAUAAAACCAUGUAGCCAAUCCACCACCCAAACACCUCCCUUUUCUCCUUAAAAUAGGUACCACUGUUACCCCAUUUUUAAACCAUAAAAAUAGCCUAAAAGCCCAUAGCUUUACACGCCCAAGUUUGUCGCCCCACAGACGCAAUGCAGAAACACUCUGCAAUUAAAAGAAAUCUAGAAAAAUCUUUUAAAAAAUGUUUCGAGCAAAAAAAAAGGGGGCGGGGGGAAGUCGGAAUUUGAGGGACUGACUUCGACUUCUUUUGGUUUUUGGCAUCGAUUCUCUGUGUUUGCUAAGGAGUUUCGUUAUUGUUCCUUUUCUUUGCUGGUGCUGGAACUUUAAUCCUCUAUUUCAGACUUUUAUUUGGUCAGUUCCUGCCGAUUUCCAAUUGUCAAGUAUGUCAGAUUCUUGUGUAGUUAUCUACCAAAUCUAUAAAAUAGAAUUCUAAAAUGUUUGGGGUUAUAUAUUGAAAUAUUCUCGAUUUUGGCUGAAAUUCUGUUAUGGAUAAAAUUGUUAUUAGUUCUUAAUUAUUUCAAAAUUAAUCUUGCAAAUUGUAUGCUUCUACCAUCACUAUCUUGAGUUUUUGAUUUAGGCAAUAAUGAAUUGUUUGGGUAUUUUCAGUAUAAUUAAGCUAAAAUCGGUCUGUCCUUUUCUGGUAAUUACUGUUUCACUAAGAGCAUGAUAAGUACAUAAUAAAUUAGAAGUUUGUUAUUUGUAUAAUUUUGUUCAAAUGUUGUUUGGAUAGAUUUUUCUUAAAAGAAAAAAUAGACUUAAUGGUGUCAAUUGCCGAAUGGAUUUUUUGAGUAAGCGCCUUACCGUUUUAUAGUAUUUGCUUUACAAGACUUUAGUUGUCACUUGUGUGUUGAAAAACUGCAUAUAUAGUUUACACUCAUGACGUGCUUUAGCUAUUUUGUUCGUUCUGCAUUUAUUUUCAUCUGUUCUUAUAAGAUGGAUGUGUUAACAUCUAUUGGGUAAUUCCUAAAAUAUGGAUGGCGAAGCUUGAAGGUUAGUCUCUUUGAACUUGUCCAGUCAGUUUCAAAUUACUAGGUUUUAAAUGGAGAAAGAUAUGUGUCUUAGGCUGUUAUGUAAGAAGUGACGACCGAGGCACUCUUUCCUUUGGUUUGAUGGUAUAGGACAAAUUUAUGGAUAGUGAAUUCUUAUAUUUGGAAAGUUCUCUUAUGUGUCUACAUAGAAUGUAUUUUGUUUAUGCAUUAAUUUUGUCCUCUUGUCAAGUUUAAAGUGAAAGUUGAUUAAUGUUUUAGUGGUGAUGAACGCACAAUUGUUGACAGGUCGUAGGGAUUUGAAUUUGUUAAUGAAUCAAUAGCUAACCCAUUUUUCACAAAUGACUUCCAUAAUCUAUGGCCUCAAAUAAUCUCAAACUUAGGAAAGAUCAACUUAUAAAUAUGUGAAGAAUGCUUUAGGCACGUUUUUAAUCUAUUUUCGUGAUUAUGUACACGUUUGUGUGACAUAAUUAUGAUCCUAAAAAUAAAUCAAGGUACGCGUUUGCAUGACUUUGGCCAAAAACAAAAUAAUAAAGCAUGAUUAAUUGUGUACAUGUACGCUUGGGAGGUAUCACACAAAUUUGUCUCAUGUGUUAGACUUCAGUACUAUUCAGCUAGAUGAGAGCUUGGGCUAUGAGGAGGAGCCAAUUGCCACUGUUGAUAGACAGGAUCACCAGUUUUCUGUGGUAAAGGUCCAGUGGAGGGGCCAACCAGUCAAGGAGGCGACCUGGGAGUGCGAGGAGGAUAUGCGGAGUAGAUAUCCACACUUGUUUAACACUUCAGGAUCUGAGACAGGUGCAUCUAGCUACCCGUCUGGUGCGCAUUCUUGAUAUUUGGCCGAGAUUCCACGGUGAGAUGCUCCUUUCCGAUGUUGUUCAGCAGCAUGAUGGAGUCUCUCUUUUGUUUUUUUGGCUGUAUAUUUUAUUCCAAGCAGUAGGAUAAACAUAUUCUUUUGUAUAUUCUACUAAAUGCCCAUAUACUUGUGACUCUAGGUCUUCACACACACAUUAGUAGACUAUUCUUUUGGAAUGUAAUCACUUAAUUAUAAUAUCAGUUGGUCACUUUAGUUUUUAAA
This is a long non-coding RNA of Nicotiana tabacum (common tobacco), 2192 nucleotides long. RefSeq lists it as uncharacterized. The record is from RefSeq and is a predicted model, not a curated record. NCBI's taxonomy places the organism in Eukaryota, Viridiplantae, Streptophyta, Magnoliopsida, Solanales, Solanaceae.